This is a non-coding RNA of Cavia porcellus (domestic guinea pig), 293 nucleotides long. It matches the Rfam family "7SK RNA". From Rfam's summary of the family: 7SK was discovered as an abundant small nuclear RNA in the mid-70s but a possible function has only recently been suggested. Two independent studies have found that 7SK RNA binds the CDK9/cyclin T complex (known as elongation factor P-TEFb). The record is from Rfam. NCBI's taxonomy places the organism in Eukaryota, Metazoa, Chordata, Mammalia, Rodentia, Caviidae.
GGAUGUGAGGGUGUUCUGGCUGUGACAACUGUCACCCUAUUGAUCCCUGGAAUUGACAUGCUUGAUCCGGCUAGCCAGACAACUGCCCCCUUCCUCCCUCACUGCUCCAUGUGGGUGCCUCCUGAAAGUGUGCAAUCAGUGGAAGAGGAAGUCUCCCUCCAUCCUAUGGAGGAGGACUGUUUCGUUGGUCAACGGUACGAGUAGCUGUGCUCCUCUGCUAUAACCUUCAGACACAUGUGGGCAUAUUACUGGGCUCAGUAAGUUUUACUUACUUUUGUUGCUUGAGACCCAAA